RNAcentral lists this small nucleolar RNA (135 nucleotides) under Dasypus novemcinctus (nine-banded armadillo). RNAcentral describes it as "Small nucleolar RNA SNORA1 (ENSDNOG00000034118.1)". It matches the Rfam family "Small nucleolar RNA SNORA1". Rfam says of the family: ACA1 is a member of the H/ACA class of snoRNA that guide the sites of modification of uridines to pseudouridines. The record is from RNAcentral. Lineage: Eukaryota; Metazoa; Chordata; Mammalia; Cingulata; Dasypodidae.
AGCCUCAUUCCUUUUGAGAAUGGGCGCAGUGGAUCAUGGUGUCCAGAACUGCUAUUGUGACUAAAUUGAGACACUGGGUUAUGCUUCCAUCACAGUAAAUUUAUUGUAGUGGUGUCAGUGAGACUUGUAACAAUU